UCCCUUUGCUUCUCAGCACAUGGGGAUUUUCGAUGUUCUUCCAGGAGCUCCAGCCCCAAUGGGCAGCCAGGAACGGGAGUAGGAGGCCAGCGGUGACCCGCGCUGAGAGGACCCAGCAAGUUUUGGGCUCUGCUUAUUCCGUUGACUCGGUGAGAGACUGGGGACCAUAUCUUGCUGACUGAUGGCGGCUGCACUGUGUCUGCAUAAGAGGCUGAAUUUCACCGUGGAGCUAGCCCAGCCCUCUAAACUUCAACCACUUGAAAGGUCUCCAUCAAAACACUUUCUGUAACUUCAGACCUCACAGAUCUGAGAGAAAAUCUUCCUGGAACUCCACCUCUGGGCUGGGUGAGCCGACAGUCCGGCUCUCCUAGCUUGGGGCAAAGCACACGGCUUAUGCAUGCAGGCGGUGUUGGGUCAGUGUGGGAAGCAAGAGUCUACACGAGAGUCAACAAGCCCAGGACAGGAGAGGACCAGCUGAGUCCGUUCAGAAGUGGCUGAGGACAGACAAGAAGGACAGCAUCAGGCACCCAGAAAAGACCUUAAUCCAGAUCUGAUGAGAAGAUGAUGACCAAGCAUUAAGGCACUUGCUACCUCGACUCUUACUAGCCGCAACUGAUGUACGAGAGUACUAGCUUAUUCCAU
This 642-nucleotide long non-coding RNA is filed under the name Rattus norvegicus (Norway rat). Its description in RNAcentral is "long non-coding RNA NONRATT003674". The record is from RNAcentral. Lineage: Eukaryota; Metazoa; Chordata; Mammalia; Rodentia; Muridae.